Long non-coding RNA from Equus caballus (horse), 4843 nucleotides. The record is from Ensembl. Lineage: Eukaryota; Metazoa; Chordata; Mammalia; Perissodactyla; Equidae.
AUCCUACAUACACCUGAGGACAUACCUAGAAGUCCAUGCUAGAAUAAUCCCCAUUGUGCAUGUUGGGAGACAGACAGCCCCUGAAAGGCACAAUGACUUAUCCAGGAUCAAGAACAGGUAUGAAUGAGGAGUUGAGUCUGAACUCAGGUCUGUCUCCUCAAAGCUGGGACCCUGGCAGCACCCAGGGCCUCGUGGAGAGGAGUGUGUUGGUGUAACAUGGAGAAGGGGGGUGAGCAGUCAGCAGCCCAGAGGGCUGUUUGGAUAGGUGUCUGAGAAGGGGACUCAGGUAAGGGGAUCCCAAAGUGAAGUCAUUUCCUUGGCAAUAGACUCCCACAGAACUUGGAAGCUCUGUAACCAGGCACCCACAUUCCAGUGACAGUCCCAUUCCUAGCCCACUUGGCCAGAGACACUUCAGUUAGAAAUGUGUUCUCUGCUGGGCCCCUACUUAACGGGGCUCUUGCUUCGGGAAAGCCUGGAGUGAGAGUCUUUUCAGAAGCUGCAGACAUUGGUUCAACCCUCGACCCAGACACCUCUGGCCAUUUGCCAGGAGGUCCCCUAGGGUAACACAAGGCAGCCUAGGGCAGGCCAAUCCAGGCCAGGCCACCUCUGAGCACUCCCUGGGCGGCCCCACAUCCCCUCCUCUUCAGCGUCGGGGGAAGAGGGACAUGAAGGGAGGGCACACCCUGGGAAGUGAUACCUGGUGGCCCUGAGUGGUCACACUGCUGGACUGGCACGGUGGCAAGGGGAUUGCGGAGGUGUCUCUUAUCUGUGCCUGUGUGAAUCCAAGGCCCUCAGGCUGUCAUCUUUUCUGUCUCCUUGGGGGAGGUCUGUGCAGAGUGUGGUGUGUGUGUGUGUCUGAAGUGGAGACAUCUCGUGGUCUGAGAAGCAGCAAAGAGCCAGCCGGUCUGAGGCUUCUGCCUGGCUGCCGGGCACUGCCUUUCCAGAGCUCCACCCAGGAGGUGGGGCAGGCUCCUGAUCAGUGGGGUCCUCUACUCCAUCUCCCUGCAGGGGUGCAGGUGCCCCACACCUGCCACAAAGUCUGGCGCUGGCUCAUGAUUUUCCUGUUUUAACUCCUGUCCGCAGGUGUCCAUGUUGGCCUGUCAAGCCUUCCACACCUUCUCCAGGUCUUACACAUCAUCAAAACCACAUGGGCUCAUGGUACUAUGUCUGUUUCUCUGCAACUUAUCGUCUCAAGGAGCUCAUCCCCGUGGCCCCUCCAGGUCGGGGGCUGGGCUCACUUGGCUGCACAACAUUCCAGAAGGGAGACCAGGUACCACAGCGAGUCAGCCCUUCACUGAUGGGGGAGCUUGACCUGGUUCCCAUCUCUCGCCAUUUCAACAUGCCGCAUGACCAUCCUACAUGUCUUAACAUCCUGAUCCCUCCCACCCCAGGAUAAGCCUCUGUGUUCUCAUCUCUAGAAUGGGAUGUUAUAUCAGGGAUCACAGGGGUGGUGCAGGUGGUACAGAGAGGUGCUGUCAAUACUCUGCUAACAAAACAACCUUAGAUACUAAUGUAUUUAACCCUUCCCCACCUCAAAUUCUACUUUAAUACCAAGAACCCUUUUUCUGCUGAGGGCACUCAUUUCCCACCUCCUGCCACAGGUCACCUGGUUUGGAGAUUUGUUCUGAGCUCCUACCUGACUCCUGGUGUCCACAGUGCUGCUCUGGCUGCAUAUCCUUCCUCUGUCCCACCCCAUGGUGAAAAUGUGUCCACAGUGAACAGGAAUGAGACCUGCAUGGUGUGGACCGUCCAGGGAGGCAGGCCGGAAAAGCAGGUGGAGACCUGGUGCCUGUCUUCCUGGGCAGUGAUCCCUCAUACGUGCCCACCUUCCUGGGUACCUGCAGAGCUUUUGCCACCAACCAAUAGCACUUGACCUGCUGUUCAAAAGUGAGCACUUUGCCCCUUCAUGGGACACUGGUGAUUCAACCAUCUACGAGCUGUGAGCCUUCAGAAUGCCACUGCACCUCUCUGAGCCUCAGUUUGCUGCUCUGAACAGUAGGGCGAAUAGAGGAUCAAUAUCAUUGGGUUAUUGUAGGGACUAAGUGGGUCCUCCCUGGAAAGUGCUGUCUGAGUGCCUGGCCCUGUGGACCAGGACCUGUUGCAGGGCCUGUGGUUGUGCUAAUUUAUCAUUUUCCUCAUUCCCAUGAGGAAGCCUCUGCCUCAUUCAUCACUCUCCCCGUGGCCUUGGGCUGAGCUGUUUUCCCACUUGAAAAGGUGAUUGAGAUUCCCUCAGUGGGUCCUUGUUUGGACGAAGCCAGACAAAGGGUUCUUGCAGGUGAGCAGUGGGUCCCCAGGCCCACUCAGUUAUCUCUGAUGAGGCCCGUUGGAGUUCAUUCAUUUAUCAAAAAUAUAACAAGCCCCACUAGGUGCAGGACAUUUCUAGAACUGACUAUAAGCCAGUGCAGAGAGCAGACCAUAAUUCUGCCCUCCAGAGUUUCCAUUCUAGUUGGGAGUCAGAAUGUUACACUAGACGUCAAAAGCAGGUAGUGUCCACAGCACAGUCAAUGUGAUGCCCUCCUGGCCUCCUCUAGAUGUGGAUGCAUCCUCCCUUACUCUGAUGAGGAUGGCAGACCCCUAGACCAACUGAAAAAGUAAGUGGGCUUUGGUUCAAGAAGCAGCAACUCCCUUCUCCAACAAACUGCGUGGAGUUGUAGGGUUCUGUGGAUGGGGAAGGGCUGGCAGAGUACUGAAUUCCACACAUCUUAUGAUUCCUGCUUGAGGGCCAAGGUCUGAGGACUCCUCCUGGCAAAGAAGAUAGAAGUCAAAGAGAGCUGUGGGUGGGGCUGUGGGUACUGUGGGGAGCACCAGAAAGAUCAGAGGACAGAGUCAGCCCCUGAAAGAAUCCAUACCUGUCCCCUCCCCAUCCCAGCCCUGCAUUAACCCCCACCCGAGGACUCAGAACAGGAGGUGUGGAGAGCAUCCUGCUCGUGAAUCUGGUGGAACCUCAACAGUGGGUGCUCAGCUGUUGCUCAGGGUACUCAGUGAGAGCUCAGGGGCUGGCUGAACCCACACUGUGGAAGAUGAGUGGCAGUGGCAGGAGGAGACCCACAUGGAGCAUCUAGAGAAUUAGGCAGCAGGUAGAUACAGGAGGUAAAGUUUGAGAUAUUAGGAAAGCCCUGGGAAUCCUGGGCAGGAGACAGAGUCUGUUUGUUCCCUUAUUGGUCAGAUACUCAUGGAGAACUGACUGUGUCAGCAAGUGCAGUGAAUGAGCAGACAUCUCUCCCUGUCCUCAUGGAGUUGACGUACCAGUGGGGAGUGUCGGGGAGACAGAUAGACCAGUGUGUCAGGCUUCCCUGAAGAAGAAGAGAGGUAAUCACACCAUUGAUCAAGGGCUCUCAAUAUGAAGACUUUUUGCCAGCCCCUCCUUGGUGACCAGGCCUGCCUCUGCCAGGGCUGCCAGAAGUGAGUUGGACAUGGACUAGGCCUCUGGGUGGACAGGAACAGAAGGACAGAGGCCCAGAUCCCCACAGGGAUGCCCUGGGAGGGCUGUGUGGAAGGAAAGGCCAGGCUUCUGACUCUGCUGCCCACCCAACUAGCCCCCGGGCCAUAAUCUCCAUCCUGGGCACCUGAUUGGACCAGGACUCUAAGGAUUUUCACCAGCCCCCAGAAUUUCCCUACCUGAAGAUGCUAUUGUCCUAUGUAGAGCUCAACAUGCCCUGCUUGGACCUAGAGUGCCAUGCCUACCUCCUCCUGGCAAAAACCUAGAGCUUCAUGAGUCCAUUGAUGCCAAGGGUAAGGAGGACUGAGGGUGAGGAGACUUGAGUGAUGUGGGCUGUGGGGAGGGGAGAGUGUUGGGUCACACAAAGCUGAGCCUCCAGAGGCUGAGGUUGGGCGAGGAGCAAUGAGUAGCCUCAGAUCACUAUUCACCUGGACUGCAGUCUGGGAAGACCUCCUGGGGGUGCGUUCUUGGACAGAGACUUCAGUAACUGGCAGUGAGAGAUUUCCUGUCUUUGGAGGGCACAUGGAAAGGUAAUCAUGUGGAUGGUAUUUUCUUUUCUUGGAGCUACAGCACCAGCUCCACAACAAGCCCUAGAACCACUUCAAGAGCUAGCACCAGCUCCAACUCAACUGCCCACUACAGCUCCAGAGCCAGAUCAGACUCAGGCCCAGUUUUCGUUUAAGCUCUAGAGCUAGAAGAAGCAUGUACGCAGGCUCCAAUUCCAGAGCCAGAGGAAUUCAAGCAACAGCUCUCACCCAAGCUCCAUAGCUAGAACCAUCACAAAAACCUGUUCUAGUAUUUGCUCCAGAACUCUAGCCACUUCCGUCCAUAGCCUCGAUUCCAGAGCUUAAGCCUACACCAGCAAGAGCCCUACCAUUAGUUCUUGAGCUCCAUAGUGCUUUGGCACAGCUCCAGCUCCAGAGCGUAAUCUGGUUCCAGCUCUAGAUCUAGAGACAACAAUAGACCCAGUUCUUAUAGUUACUCCAGUGCCAGAUCCAGUUCCUCCCCCAGUAUACUAGAGCUGGUACCAGCUCAACAACUAGCACCAGCCCCUGCAGCAUCUCCAGGUCCCGGUCCUUAGCUGCAACUAGUGCCAGCUGCAGCCCCAGAGACUUCCUUCCCCUCCCCUAUAAUUCCACUUUUUAAAAUUUUGUUUUUUUCUUAUAUAUACUCAAUAUUUUACUCUAUUCUAGUGUAUAAAAUUCCCUUAAAAUAAAAUUUACCUCUUUGAUCGUUUUAAGUUGUACACUUACGUGGCAUUAAGUACAUUCACAGUGUUGCACAAGCCCCUUUGCUAUCUGUUCCAGGACAUUUUCAUCAAAGAGAAGCCCUGUCUAUACUAGUCGGUCACUCCUCACUCUCCUCAUCCCAGCCCCUGGCACCAACUGAUCUUCUUUAUCGCUG